Molecule: ribosomal RNA, 403 nt
Filed under: bacterium
Lineage: Bacteria
Description: partial 16S ribosomal RNA
Rfam family: Bacterial small subunit ribosomal RNA
Source: RNAcentral
UGGGGAAUAUUGCACAAUGGGGGAAACCCUGAUGCAGCGACGCCGCGUGAACGAAGAAGGUAUUCGUAUCGUAAAGUUCUGUCCUAUGGGAAGAUAAUGACAGUACCAUAGAAGAAAGCUCCGGCUAAAUACGUGCCAGCAGCCGCGGUAAUACGUAUGGAGCGAGCGUUGUCCGGAAUUAUUGGGCGUAAAGGGUACGCAGGCGGUUUAAUAAGUCGAAUGUUAAAGAUCGGGGCUCAACCCCGCAAAGCAUUGGAAACUGAUAAACUUGAGUAGUGGAGAGGAAAGUGGAAUUCCUAGUGUAGUGGUGAAAUACGAAGAUAUUAGGAGGAAUACCAGUAGCGAAGGCGACUUUCUGGACACAAACUGACGCUGAGGUACGAAAGCGUGGGGAGCAAACAGG